UACGUAGGGGGCGAGCGUUGUCCGAAGUUACUGGGCGUAAAGAGCGCGUAGGCGGACCCUUAAGUGAGGGGUGAAAGGUUCGGGCUCAACCCGGAGAGUGCCUUUCAUACUGGGGGUCUUGAGUGCGGGAGAGGCAAGUGGAAUGGUCGGUGUAGCGGUGAAAUGCGUAGAGAUGCGGAGGAACACCGAUGGCGAAGGCAGCCCCCUGGGCUAACACUGACGCUCAGGCACGAAAGCGUGGGGAGCAAACAGG
Molecule: ribosomal RNA, 253 nt
Filed under: uncultured bacterium
Lineage: Bacteria
Description: partial 16S ribosomal RNA
Rfam family: Bacterial small subunit ribosomal RNA
Source: RNAcentral